GAAACCGAAGAGACACAAAGGGAAACCAGCUCCUGCAGCAGCUGAUGAAACAGUUUAUUCUGAAGUUAAAUCACAAACAGCUCUGGAUUAAUAACAAGAUCUGCAAAACCAACUGGAUCAGUGACAAAACUGAGUUUCAUUUGAAUUUAAGAGAGCAUUAGAGAAAUUGAGAUUAUGCACUGUUUUAUAAGAUAAAGUAAAAUAAGUAAAAUCUUUCAUCAUAAUAGCCCAAGUGAUAAUCUGGCUUUGAGACCAAGAUGCUUCGCACACAUGAACAUUCACUGAACUGCAAGUGUUGUUACAUGUUCACUGCUAAAUAAAUAAAAUAAAUAAUAAAUAAAUAAAUACAAAUACAAAUAAACAACAUCUUGAAAUCAAAAUAAUCAACCUACAGGGGGCUGAAUUUUGAUACACAUCAAAGUGAAAAAAAAAUGAUGCAGACCAUUUUGUUGAAAUUUCAUUGCACCGACUCAAAAUUAUACUGAGUAGUCAGUUUGUCUUCCAUGGACUUGUAUGCUUUCCUGACAAUUUUGGAGCAUACUCCACAAGAGAUGAUGGUGUCCUGGGGAUCUCCUCCCAGAUCUGGACAAGGGCAUCUGAGCUCCUGGACAGUCUGAGCUGCAGCAUGGCAGCUUCAGAUGGAGAGGAGCAUAAUGUCCCAGUUGGAUUUUGGUCAGGCGAGUGUGGGAACCAGUCAGUGGUAUCAAUUCCUUAAUCCUCCGGGAACUGCCUGCAUACUCUCGCCACAUGAAGCUCGGCAUUGUCAUACCAGGAGAAACCCAGGACCCACAGGCACCAGCGUAGGAUCUGACAAUGAGUGACAAACUCUUGAGACUGUGCUAGCAAACCUGACAAUUGCACGCAUUGAACUGGCAACCUAGAGAAGCUAGACUGCCUGUACAACCUCUGUAGCAUCCAGGGAUUGUCUCAUCUCAUCCUACCAGUAACGAUGAUCACUCUAGUCAAAAGUAAAACUAGUGAAAAAGACAGAAAAUAUGAGAAAGGAAAAAAUGUCAGUGACCUCUAGUUGUAAAAUGAUUCCUGAUUUGGGAUGCACCUUUUGUUAACUGCAUGUUUUGCUACUUCACAGAGCAGAGAUGUCUAAGU
Pundamilia nyererei is the source of this 1107-nucleotide long non-coding RNA. RefSeq lists it as uncharacterized. NCBI's taxonomy places the organism in Eukaryota, Metazoa, Chordata, Actinopteri, Cichliformes, Cichlidae. The transcript is spliced from 3 exons. The record is from RefSeq and is a predicted model, not a curated record.